GAUGAACGCUGGCGGCGUGCCUAACACAUGCAAGUCGAACGGAGAUUCCGGACGGAAGUUUUCGGAUGGAAGCCUGUAAUUCUUAGUGGCGGACGGGUGAGUAACGCGUGGGCAACCUGCCCUAUACAGGGGGAUAGCAGCUGGAAACGGCUGGUAAGACCGCAUAAGUCGGUUAAAUCGCAUGAUUUGAUCGGGAAAUGAGCAAUCAGGUAUAGGAUGGGCCCGCGUCCGAUUAGCCAGUUGGCAGGGUAAAAGCCUACCAAAGCGACGAUCGGUAGCCGGACUGAGAGGUCGGAUGGCCACAUUGGGACUGAGACACGGCCCAAACUCCUACGGGAGGCAGCAGUGGGGGAUAUUGCACAAUGGAGGAAACUCUGAUGCAGCGACGCCGCGUGAGUGAAGAAGUAUUUCGGUAUGUAAAGCUCUAUCAGCAGGGAAGAUGAUGACGGUACCUGACUAAGAAACCCCGGCUAACUACGU
This 480-nucleotide ribosomal RNA is filed under the name uncultured bacterium. RNAcentral describes it as "partial 16S ribosomal RNA". It matches the Rfam family "Bacterial small subunit ribosomal RNA", at positions 28 to 506 of the family's 1533-position model. The record is from RNAcentral.